RNAcentral lists this ribosomal RNA (775 nucleotides) under uncultured Neocallimastigales. RNAcentral describes it as "partial large subunit ribosomal RNA". It matches the Rfam family "Eukaryotic large subunit ribosomal RNA", at positions 22 to 621 of the family's 3401-position model. The record is from RNAcentral. Lineage: Eukaryota; Fungi; Neocallimastigomycota; Neocallimastigomycetes; Neocallimastigales.
AUAUCAGUCAUGCAUAGCAUAUCAAUAAGCGGAGGAAAAGAAACUAACAAGGAUUCCCUUAGUAACGGCGAGUGAAGCGGGAAGAGCUCAAAUUUGAAAUCUUCAAGGUUUUACCUUGACGAAUUGUAGUUUAAAGAAGUGUUUUCUGUUGAAGUUUUGGUAAAAGUUCUUUGGAAUAGGACAUCAUAGAGGGAUGAGAAUCCCGUAUUUGACCAUUACUUUCAGCUUUGUGAUACACUUUCAAAGAGUCGGAUUGUUUGGGAAUGCAGUCCAAAAUGGGUGGUAAAUUUCAUCUAAAGCUAAAUAUUGGCGAGAGACCGAUAGCGAACAAGUACCGUGAGGGAAAGAUGAAAAGAACUUUGAAAAGAGAGUUAAACAGUACGUGAAAUUGUCAAAAGGGAAGCGUUUGACACCAGUGUUGUUUUCUCGAAAAUCAAUUAAAAAGAGUUGGAUUUUGUGUUGUAUUGACUUUAUCAGCUUUCUUCACUCUUUUCCAGCUUUUUUUAAUGCACUUUUCGUUUAACAAGUCAACAUCAGUUUCUUUUGUUGUAAAAAGGUCAUUGGAAGGUGGCUUUCUCUUCGGAGAAAGUGUUUAUAGCCUUUGACUCAUGCAAUCGGAGAGACUGAGGUCUGCAGCGUAGAUCCUUCGGGGUUAGAUACAUUUGUGCUAAGUUAUAGCUUUUCAUAGACAACUUGUUGACUAUGUUUAGUCUUGUAGCUUACUCGCUUAUGCUAUUUUACCUACGCUUAGGAUGUUGAACUCUAUCACACACAG